RNAcentral lists this ribosomal RNA (254 nucleotides) under uncultured bacterium. RNAcentral's name for it is "partial 16S ribosomal RNA". It matches the Rfam family "Bacterial small subunit ribosomal RNA", at positions 524 to 776 of the family's 1533-position model. The record is from RNAcentral.
CACGUAGGGGCCAAGCGUUGUCCGGAUUUAUUGGGCGUAAAGAGCUCGUAGGCGGUUCGACAAGUCGGGUGUGAAAACUCCGGGCUCAACCCGGAGACGCCACCCGAUACUGUCGUGACUGGAGUCCGGUAGGGGAGUGGGGAAUUCCUGGUGUAGCGGUGAAAUGCGCAGAUAUCAGGAGGAACACCGGUGGCGAAGGCGGUUCUCUGGGCAUGUCCUGACGCUGAGGAGCGAAAGUGUGGGGAGCGAACAGG